Long non-coding RNA from Vulpes vulpes (red fox), 321 nucleotides. Lineage: Eukaryota; Metazoa; Chordata; Mammalia; Carnivora; Canidae. The record is from Ensembl.
UUCCUUCUGGAACAUCAAGCCUAUGUCCUUUCCUCUACAAAGUCAGUGCUACAACAUGGUGGCAGAUUUUCUAGACUGUUAAAGGUCGGCAUUUCUUGGCCAUCUAGAAAACAUAUUCAGGAAAAAAACCCCAAAACCUUAAAUGUGAAAAAUCUGCCACUGAAGAACUGGAUUUUCUUCUUAGUGAUGUUCAUAGCCACGGAUGAGGAACGUGAUAUUACUUUAUUUAAAUUCAAAGGCAAUCAGGGUAUUAUUAAUAUUCAAAAUGUGUUUCUAUUAAUUGGUGCCUAUCCAACACGUCAAUACCUGUCAGUGGCUUGA